CAGCCGCCGCGGUAAUACGAAGGGGGCUAGCGUUGCUCGGAAUUACUGGGCGUAAAGGGAGCGUAGGCGGACAUUUAAGUCAGGGGUGAAAUCCCAGAGCUCAACUCUGGAACUGCCUUUGAUACUGGGUGUCUUGAGUGUGAUAGAGGUAUGUGGAACUCCGAGUGUAGAGGUGAAAUUCGUAGAUAUUCGGAAGAACACCAGUGGCGAAGGCGACAUACUGGAUCAUUACUGACGCUGAGGUACGAAAGCAUGGGGAGCAAACAGGAUUAGAUACCCCAGUAGUCCCUGUCUCUUAUAC
RNAcentral lists this ribosomal RNA (301 nucleotides) under uncultured bacterium. RNAcentral's name for it is "partial 16S ribosomal RNA". It matches the Rfam family "Bacterial small subunit ribosomal RNA", at positions 509 to 807 of the family's 1533-position model. The record is from RNAcentral.